Molecule: long non-coding RNA, 2082 nt
Organism: Oryzias melastigma (Indian medaka)
Lineage: Eukaryota; Metazoa; Chordata; Actinopteri; Beloniformes; Adrianichthyidae
Exons: 3
Source: RefSeq, a predicted model, not a curated record
GGGAUUCUGCUGGUUUUCUCGAUCUCCCUGCUCCAUCUUCUCGUGAUUACCUGGUCAGGUGUGUCCGACCAGUUAGAAGCAUGAUGGGGAAAAAGGGAGGACAUUUCCAGGAAUUGAAGGACCUCCUGUUUUUUUAUUUUUUUAUUAUUAACCUCUCUUUUUUUGCUUCUAAUUGGCUUAACACACUUUUUCCAUCCAAUCAGAGGUAAGUAGAAAAGGGAGAUCUGGAAAACGAGCUCUAUCUCAGCCUGCGAGGCCUAGAGCUGGACACCUCUGGUUUAGAGACUGUUUUUCAGGCAACACUGGGUUAGACCAGCAGGAAUCUAUUCCAUCCAGAGCCGGCCUCGGCAGCCUGUCUGCGUUUUGCCCAUGAAAACAAACAUCAGAAGUUUUGCGAAGAUGUAUGUAUUACACUUAAAACUAAGGAAGUUGAUUUUUCAUGCUAAAGGACCUUUAAAUAUGAGUUGGCGGACAUUUUUUUUUAACUGUCUUAUGGUGGAGAGUAUCUAAAAUCUUUUUUUUUUGUGGAAUAAAAUUCAGGUAUGAAGACGUUAUAAAAACAGGUUAUACAGAAAGAGACUUUACAAAAAGCUGAAACAUGUCCAGCUGCUCCAUGUUCAUGUAUCUGUGUCUCUAAAGCCAAAUUUCCUGUUUUGGUCACGCAGAACAGGAGAUCCACUGCAGGUGCUCUUCCAUUCAUCUUUGAAGAGGAUCGCUCAACCUUCAUUAAGUUGGCAGAGACCACUGACGCUGCAGGGGUACCAGCAGUGAUGAAGGGAGUGAGUGUUUGCCUACGGAUCACCAUGGAGCAAAAUGCAGAGAUGACAACCCAGUCAAGAACUUUGUGAAUGUUGCUGUAAUCCUGGAGGAGUGCAUCAUUUUGCGUGAGUUGCGAUAUGUACCAAAUGGCUUUGCAGUGCUGAUUGGACAACUUUACUGCUUCAACGUUGAUUAUCGGAAGUAACUGAAGUACACCUUUAAGUUCUUUCAGAACUUCAGGGGUAGAGUGGGCUCUGUUUGGGUUCAUAGACUGUUGAACAAACUGCUUCAGUGCACAAUGUCGAAACGUUCUUCAGAAUAGAGCAGCUCCAUGCCAUUUUUGUUUGAACACUGUUCAGUAAAUACAUUUUAAGGAAUUGACAUGUGUGUAAUGUUUUAGAUGUCCUGUUUAUAGAACAACACAAAACAAUAUUCCUGCAUUAAUUUAGUCAGACCUGUUUUUGGUACAUUUGCAUUUGUGAUCUUUAAAGUCUGCUGUUGUGUGACGCAUAAGAGAAAGCAAGUUAUUUGUUCAAGUUUAAACAAGCACAAACAGAAAUAUCUUCUUGCACUGUGACAUUUGUUAAAGACUCACUCCAAUGAAAACACUAUUUUUUUGUGUGUUUAAUUUGUUCUUGUAGCAUUUUUCUCAUAUUAGAGGACCUAUAUAAAAUAAUUAUGAUGAUUAGAUCUGCACUUCUGAAGAUUCCUUUUUCCAAAUCACAUUGGAUCAGAAACCAGACGCUUGGAAAAGCUAAUGAUGCAGCUACUGAAAUAGGCGUGUUAAGAGCUCCAUUCUGAUGCAUCAGCUUGCGCAUGACUAGAUCCGUGUAGGUAUUGGUUUUCCUGGUCCAAGCUGGGGUCUGGCUAAAACUUUACAACUGGAUUGAUCCGAUAUUGCUCAUCGUUAUUUUUGCAUUGCCAAUGUUACCUUGAAACUAUUAAGAGUGAGUGCAACAGAGCUUCCCUGUGAUGGGCAGAUGCGGGGUUGCUCUGACCCAAGUCCCGCCCACAACCCAGACUUAUAUUUCUAAUGAGCUACUGCUGCUAUGCAUAAAAUAUGUCUUAAAAAACGACAAAGGCUUUUUGAUUUUGGCUAUAACUGCAGUCAUAAUUGAAAAGACUACUGAGAACAAUAUAAAAAAUAUGGUUGGAGUGGGACUUUAAGAAAUUCAUAGUUUUUUUUUUUGUUGAAAGCCAGUGACAAUUUAAACUGUCGUGUUUCUGUAUUUGAAAUGGCUAGGCAACUGCUUUACUCCCUGUAAUGUCAUUGUGAUUAACAUGUAAGCACAGACAAAAACAUAAAACAAACACUGAGUCACA